This 339-nucleotide ribosomal RNA is filed under the name Triticum aestivum (bread wheat). RNAcentral describes it as "partial small subunit ribosomal RNA". The record is from RNAcentral. Lineage: Eukaryota; Viridiplantae; Streptophyta; Magnoliopsida; Poales; Poaceae.
AUGACAGAUAACAUAAAGAAGCUUUGGAGGGAGUCCAGCGUAGACAGGGCCAAACCGUUCUCGCCGGUGCAUAUUGAUGGUUUCUCUUGCGAGUUUGUGCGGGUGCCGCAGCAGAAAAACACGCAUGAUUGUGGAUUCUUUAUGCUACAAAGCUGCAAGACCUAUCAUUGCCGGGAGGAUGGUGUGAUUGAAGUGAGUGGCUGGAUCUUGAUGAGCAUGACUACAGGAUCUUUGGCAGCCAGUUCUCGGAGCUCGAGCGCGUAUCUAUUGAUCUUAGCCAGGGGCGUUCUCCAGAAAAGACAAGAUCUGGUCUUAUUAAGGGACGGUUGGGAGCUCUGA